GACGAACGCUGGCGGCGUGCUUAACACAUGCAAGUCGAGCGAUGAAGUUCCUUCGGGAAUGGAUUAGCGGCGGACGGGUGAGUAACACGUGGGUAACCUGCCUCAUAGAGGGGAAUAGCCUUCCGAAAGGAAGAUUAAUACCGCAUAAGAUUGUAGUGCCGCAUGGCAUAGCAAUUAAAGGAGCAAUCCGCUAUGAGAUGGACCCGCGUCGCAUUAGCUAGUUGGUGAGGUAACGGCUCACCAAGGCGACGAUGCGUAGCCGACCUGAGAGGGUGACCGGCCACAUUGGGACUGAGACACGGCCCAGACUCCUACGGGAGGCAGCAGUGGGGAAUAUUGCACAAUGGGGGAAACCCUGAUGCAGCAACGCCGCGUGAGUGAUGACGGUCUUCGGAUUGUAAAACUCUGUCUUCAGGGACGAUAAUGACAGUACCUGAGGAGGAAGCCACGGCUAACUACGUGCCAGCAGCAGCCGCCG
Molecule: ribosomal RNA, 478 nt
Filed under: uncultured bacterium
Lineage: Bacteria
Description: partial 16S ribosomal RNA
Rfam family: Bacterial small subunit ribosomal RNA
Source: RNAcentral